AAAUUAUUACCGACUGUCACUAGAGCAAAUGAUAAAGAGCUUGAUAAUUGGUACCCGAGACCUAAGUUCGAAUCUUACUUGAGUCACAUUUCCAGCUAAGUUUAUUUCUAAAUGAAAUAAACGAAGCGGAUAACGUGCUAUCUAUCUCUCAAAUAAAAAAAAUAAAUAGAAAAUUAUUGUAUGAAAUUACAUAUUGUUAACUUUCAUAGUUCAUUUAGAAAAAAUACCAAACGAACGGUAAAAGAAAUAAAUGCAGAAAGAAGAAAUCAAGAUUUACGCGGUUCGGCAAUCCCCUACGUCCACGGGAAGAGCGAGAGAGAUGUAUUCCAGUAUAUGAAGAAAUAGAAGUACAAGCUUACACCUUAUAUCUUCUCCGGAUAAAAAACCAAGAACCUUAUGGUGAAUCCCACCUUUCUUGUUCCAACGAAAACUCCAAGAAAAUACCGAAAAAGCUUUUCGUAAAACCGAGAAGACCAAAUUAGAGAAGUAUAGAAACUCUAACCAAAUUCCUUUAUGCCGUUGCUUCGAAGAAUCCGAACCGCUCAGGCAAUUGGUCAAGAACCGCUGCUCCGCC
This 574-nucleotide long non-coding RNA is filed under the name Ananas comosus (pineapple). Its description in RNAcentral is "long non-coding RNA (ACOM_LNC020432)". The record is from RNAcentral. Lineage: Eukaryota; Viridiplantae; Streptophyta; Magnoliopsida; Poales; Bromeliaceae.